CACUGACAUUAGAUACCCGGGUAGUCCCAGCCGUAAACAAUGUGCGUUAGGUGUGUCGGUAACCACGUGUUACUGAUGCGCCGAAGAGAAAUCGUGAAACGCACCACCUGGGAAGUACGGUCGCAAGGCUGAAACUUAAAGGAAUUGGCGGGGGAGCACCACAACAGGUGGAGCCUGCGGUUUAAUUGGAUUCAACGCCGGACAUCUCACCGGAUAAGACAGCUGAAUGAUUGUCAAUCUGAAGGUUUUACAUGACUAGCUG
RNAcentral lists this ribosomal RNA (262 nucleotides) under uncultured archaeon. Its description in RNAcentral is "partial 16S ribosomal RNA". It matches the Rfam family "Archaeal small subunit ribosomal RNA", at positions 722 to 982 of the family's 1478-position model. The record is from RNAcentral.